This 283-nucleotide ribosomal RNA is filed under the name Salmonella enterica. Its description in RNAcentral is "partial 23S ribosomal RNA". It matches the Rfam family "Bacterial large subunit ribosomal RNA", at positions 2660 to 2925 of the family's 2925-position model. RNAcentral also lists the same sequence under 1 other name. The record is from RNAcentral. Lineage: Bacteria; Pseudomonadati; Pseudomonadota; Gammaproteobacteria; Enterobacterales; Enterobacteriaceae.
AACUGAGGGGGGCUGCUCCUAGUACGAGAGGACCGGAGUGGACGCAUCACUGGUGUUCGGGUUGUCAUGCCAAUGGCACUGCCCGGUAGCUAAAUGCGGAAGAGAUAAGUGCUGAAAGCAUCUAAGCACGAAACUUGCCCCGAGAUGAGUUCUCCCUGAGACUUAAAGUCUCCUGAAGGAACGUUGAAGACGACGACGUUGAUAGGCCGGGUGUGUAAGCGCAGCGAUGCGUUGAGCUAACCGGUACUAAUGAACCGUGAGGCUUAACCUUACAACGCCGAAG